RNAcentral lists this unclassified non-coding RNA (240 nucleotides) under soil metagenome. RNAcentral describes it as "partial contains 5.8S ribosomal RNA, internal transcribed spacer 2, and large subunit ribosomal RNA". The record is from RNAcentral.
AACGCACGAGACCUGCGGACCUGCGGAGGGAUCAUUACCGAGUUCGUGCCCCGCAGCGGGGUAGAUCUCCCACCCUUGUGUAUCUUCGUACCGUUCUGUUGCUUUGGCAGGCCGCUCAGGCUUCGGCUCGACCACCGGCUCCCCCAGGGGGGCGGGUGUGCGCCUGCCAGAGGACCCCCCAACUCUUGUUUGUCAGUGUCGUCUGAGUACUAUAACCAAUCGUUAAAACUUUUAACAAUG